UAUUGGUCAAUGGGAGGAAUCCUGAACCAGCCAUGCCGCGUGCAGGACGACGGCUCUACGAGUUGUAAACUGCUUUUGUACCGGGGUAAAAUGCCUUACGAGUAGGGUUUUGAAAGUACGGUACGAAUAAGGAUCGGCUAACUCCGUGCCAGCAGCCGCGGUAAGACGGAGGAUCCGAGCGUUCUCCGGAUUCAGUGGGUUUAAAGGGUGCGUAGGUUGUUUUAUAAGUUAGCGGUGAAAUACCGAUGCUCAACAUCGGGGCUGCCGCUAAUACUGUAGGACUAGAGAUCGGAUGCAGCAGGCGGAAUGUGUAGUGUAGCGGUGAAAUGCAUAGAUAUUACACAGAACACCGAUUGCGAAGGCAGCUUGCUAGGCCGGAUCUGACACUGAUGCACGAAAGCGUGGGGAUCGAACAGGA
RNAcentral lists this ribosomal RNA (418 nucleotides) under uncultured bacterium. RNAcentral's name for it is "bacterial SSU rRNA". It matches the Rfam family "Bacterial small subunit ribosomal RNA", at positions 362 to 777 of the family's 1533-position model. The record is from RNAcentral.